This 252-nucleotide ribosomal RNA is filed under the name uncultured bacterium. RNAcentral describes it as "partial 16S ribosomal RNA". It matches the Rfam family "Bacterial small subunit ribosomal RNA", at positions 524 to 776 of the family's 1533-position model. The record is from RNAcentral.
UACGUAGGUGGCAAGCGUUAUCCGGAUUUAUUGGGCGUAAAGGGAACGCAGGUGGUUUAUUAAGUCUGGUGUAAAAGGCAGUGGCUCAACCAUUGUAUGCAUUGGAAACUGGUAGACUUGAGUGCAGGAGAGGAGAGUGGAAUUCCAUGUGUAGCGGUGAAAUGCGUAGAUAUAUGAAGGAACACCGGUGGCGAAAGCGGCUCUCUGGCCUGUAACUGACACUGAGGCUCGAAAGCGUGGGGAGCAAACAGG